RNAcentral lists this ribosomal RNA (442 nucleotides) under uncultured bacterium. RNAcentral's name for it is "SSU rRNA". It matches the Rfam family "Bacterial small subunit ribosomal RNA", at positions 26 to 518 of the family's 1533-position model. The record is from RNAcentral.
AGAACGAACGCUGGCGGCAGGCCUAACACAUGCAAGUCGAACGCGACUUCGGUCGAGUGGCGCACGGGUGAGUAACGCGUGGGAACCUGUCCUAUGGUACGGAAUAACAUCGGGAAACUGGUGCUAAUACCGUAUAAGCCCCGAGGGGGAAAGAUUUAUCGCCAUAGGAGGGGCCCGCGUAGGAUUAGCUAGUUGGUGAGGUAACGGCUCACCAAGGCGACGAUCCUUAGCUGGUCUGAGAGGAUGAUCAGCCACACUGGGACUGAGACACGGCCCAGACUCCUACGGGAGGCAGCAGUGGGGAAUAUUGGACAAUGGGGGAAACCCUGAUCCAGCCAUGCCGCGUGAGUGAUGAAGGCCUUCGGGUUGUAAAGCUCUUUCGCACGCGACGAUGAUGACGGUAGCGUGAGAAGAGCCCGGCUAACUUCGCGCCAGCAGCCGC